This 394-nucleotide ribosomal RNA is filed under the name uncultured bacterium. RNAcentral's name for it is "bacterial SSU rRNA". It matches the Rfam family "Bacterial small subunit ribosomal RNA", at positions 30 to 429 of the family's 1533-position model. The record is from RNAcentral.
AUUGAACGCUGGCGGCAUGCCUUACACAUGCAAGUCGAACGGCAGCACGGGGCAACCUGGUGGCGAGUGGCGAACGGGUGAGUAAUGCAUCGGAACGUGCCAUUGAGUGGGGGAUAACGUAGCGAAAGUUGCGCUAAUACCGCAUAUUCUGUGAGCAGGAAAGCAGGGGACCGCAAGGCCUUGCGCUCUUUGAGCGGCCGAUGUCAGAUUAGCUAGUUGGUGAGGUAACGGCUUACCAAGGCGACGAUCUGUAGCGGGUCUGAGAGGAUGAUCCGCCACACUGGAACUGAGACACGGUCCAGACUCCUACGGGAGGCAGCAGUGGGGAAUUUUUGACAAUGGGCGCAAGCCUGAUCCAGCCAUGCCGCGUGAGUAAAGAAGGCCUCGGUGUAAG